RNAcentral lists this long non-coding RNA (1342 nucleotides) under Homo sapiens (human). Its description in RNAcentral is "HSALNT0338087". Lineage: Eukaryota; Metazoa; Chordata; Mammalia; Primates; Hominidae. The record is from RNAcentral.
CAAGAAAACAAGGCAACGAGAAAAAUUAGACUACAGUGUUAAGAAGCAAAGAUCCAGCACCACACGUUGAUUAGCACCCCUGGAUGUGGGACACUGUUACAGAACCAGAAAGAAACCCAAGACAGUCCCUUCCUUGAGGAACAAUCACCGUCCAAAGCCAGGUUAGUUUCCUUUGGAAGUAGAAAGAAAACUCCCUCGAGUCAGUUGUCAAUAUAGUAACCCCCUCCUCCUUUCUGUAACUCCUGGUCAAAAGUAUUGAUACUUAAUUUACAGUCAGAGCAGCUGUCGUUCUGACACGGAAGGAAAACAAACAAAAAAAUUCCUUUGAUCAGACCAACUUAAAGUAGGAAAGAGAUGGUGAAUUUCAUUUGUGGAUCACUCUUCUGCAUAAGAGAAUUUCUGAUCUUUUCUGUAGAUCAAGGGCUAUAUAUGAAACCACUCAAAUGCCUCGACACGAGAAUGGAUGCAUAAAUUGUGAUCCAUUCACAUAGGGAAUGAAUGUUGUAUAGCACUGAUAAUGAACAGCCUAUGACUAUAGCCAACAAUAUGGUUGGAUCUCAUAAUAUGACGCUGAGCAAAAGAAGCCAGACGUGAAAGUGUAUAUCCUGCCGGCUCCCAUUAAUGCAAAGCACAAAAUUAGCAAAAGUCGUCUGUGCUGUUGGAAGCAAGAGUAGCAGUUUCCCAGAGGGGAUGGUAAUGACUUCCAGGGGCCAGCGGGGGGCUUGGUGAUGGUCCAUUCUUGAUCUGGGUGGUGCUAGGCUUAUGUGCACACUUCCCUAUUUAUGUAAUUUUUCAAUAAAAAGUUUUAAAAUAACUUGGCUUCAUUUAUCAUCAGCAUCUUUAAUUUUAAGACUUUUCCGCAUUGUCAGUUCUUUUGUCAUUUUACUGAAAGGAGGUGAUUAUGGGGCAGACUUUGGGAAACCGAAGCACAGAGAGGUCGAAAUUUGCUCUGUAACUUAGCGGCUCGGUGGGGACCUAGGGACAGAUCCUGGUUUUCAGGCUUCCAGCUGGGGGCUCCCUCUCUGAAAGCCACCACAGUGCCAGAGUUCACCCAGUGUUCCCAGGGCAGCUGUAGAGGCCACCACUCUUUCAGCAUCCCUCUCCUGCCUUUAUAAACCUCCAAAGUGAACUCACUGAUUUUUUUAAUUGAAAAAGGGCAUUUACGCUGUGCCCAGCCUAGUGCUAGGCAUAUAGUAGGUACUAAAUAACUAAUUUCUGAAUAUAUACAUUUCCUUAUAAAAUAGCCAAAAUAGAAUAUUACUAUAAUGUUCUAUAUAUCAUAGAAUAUAUAUGUGAUGUAUAUUCAUUGCUAGUAUGUAUUUUCUAAACUUUUUUUUUUCCC